This 645-nucleotide ribosomal RNA is filed under the name uncultured actinomycete. Its description in RNAcentral is "bacterial SSU rRNA". It matches the Rfam family "Bacterial small subunit ribosomal RNA", at positions 232 to 885 of the family's 1533-position model. Lineage: Bacteria; Bacillati; Actinomycetota; Actinomycetes; Actinomycetales. The record is from RNAcentral.
CGCGGCCUAUCAGCUUGUUGGUGAGGUAACGGCUCACCAAGGCUCCGACGGGUAGCUGGUCUGAGAGGACGAUCAGCCACACUGGGACUGAGACACGGCCCAGACUCCUACGGGAGGCAGCAGCAGGGAAUUUUGCACAAUGGGCGAAAGCCUGAUGCAGCGACGCCGCGUGCGGGAUGAAUGCCUUCGGGUUGUAAACCGCUUUCAGGAGGGACGAAGCGAAAGUGACGGUACCUCCAGAAGAAGCCCCGGCCAACUACGUGCCAGCAGCCGCGGUAAUACGUAGGGGGCGAACGUUGUCCGGAUUUAUUGGGCGUAAAGAGCUCGUAGGCGGCUCAGCAAGUCGGCCGUGAAAACCCGGGGCUCAACCCCGGGACGCCGGUCGAAACUGCUGUGGCUAGGGUUCGGUAGAGGAGAGUGGAAUUCCCGGUGUAGCGGUGAAAUGCGCAGAUAUCGGGAGGAACACCAGUAGCGAAGGCGGCUCUCUGGGCCGAUACCGACGCUGAGGAGCGAAAGCUAGGGGAGCAAACAGGAUUAGAUACCCUGGUAGUCCUAGCCGUAAACGUUGGGCACUAGGUGUGGCGGACUCAUUGACGUCUGCCGUGCCGCAGCUAACGCAUUAAGUGCCCCGCCUGGGGAGUACGG